CCUACGGGUGGCUGCAGUGGGGAAUAUUGGACAAUGGGCGCAAGCCUGAUCCAGCAAUGCCGCGUGUGUGAAGAAGGCCUGCGGGUUGUAAAGCACUUUAAGCAGGAAAGAAGGGGUGAAAGUUAAUACCUUUCAUCAUUGACGUUACCUGCAGAAGAAGCACCGGCGAACUCCGUGCCAGCAGCCGCGGUAAUACGGAGGGUGCGAGCGGGCAUCGGGCGUACUGGGCGGAUAGCGCGCGUACGCGGUGAAAGCCCUGGGCUUAACCUGGGAACUGCGGUGGAUACUGUCGGGCUAGAGUGUGGUAGAGGGGAGUGGAAUUUCCGGUGUAGCAGUGAAAUGCGUAGAGAUCGGAAGGAACACCAGUGGCGAAGGCGGCUCCCUGGACUAACACUGACGCUGAGGUGCGAAAGCGUGGGGAGCGAACAGGAUUAGAUACCCGUGUAGUC
RNAcentral lists this ribosomal RNA (449 nucleotides) under uncultured bacterium. RNAcentral describes it as "partial 16S ribosomal RNA". It matches the Rfam family "Bacterial small subunit ribosomal RNA", at positions 338 to 795 of the family's 1533-position model. The record is from RNAcentral.